Molecule: unclassified non-coding RNA, 303 nt
Filed under: uncultured fungus
Lineage: Eukaryota; Fungi
Description: partial contains small subunit ribosomal RNA, internal transcribed spacer 1, and 5.8S ribosomal RNA
Rfam family: Eukaryotic small subunit ribosomal RNA (bases 1-73)
Source: RNAcentral
CCAAACUUGGUCAUUUAGAGGAAGUAAAAGUCGUAACAAGGUCUCCGUUGGUGAACCAGCGGAGGGAUCAUUACAAGAGAGUUAGCGAUAACUCAUAACCCUUUGUGAACAUACCUUUUGUCAGUUGCUUCGGCGGGAGGCCCCUGGGAGGGGCCCCGGGGCCCGGCCGCGCCGGGCUCCCGCCGGAGGGGCGCCCCACAAACUCUUGCUGUACCUCAGUGGCACAUCCGGGUCAACACAAACAAACAAAUCAAAACUUUCAACAACGGAUCUCUUGGUUCUGGCAUCGAUGAAGAACGCAGC